RNAcentral lists this ribosomal RNA (458 nucleotides) under uncultured bacterium. Its description in RNAcentral is "bacterial SSU rRNA". It matches the Rfam family "Bacterial small subunit ribosomal RNA", at positions 364 to 832 of the family's 1533-position model. The record is from RNAcentral.
UUCGCAAUGCCCGAAAGGGUGAACGAGCGACGCCGCGUGCGGGAUGAAGGGUUUCGGCUUGUAAACUCCUGUCGAGGGGGAGGAAGGGGCAACCUUGACCGACCCCUGGAGGAAGCACGGGCUAAGUUCGUGCCAGCAGCCGCGGUAAGACGAACCGUGCGAACGUUAUUCGGAAUCACUGGGCUUAAAGCGCGUGUAGGCGGACGGGGACGUCGGUCUUUGAAAGCCCCCGGCUCAACCGGGGAAGUGGAGCCGAAACGACCGGUCUGGAGGGACGUAGGGGGACCUGGAACUUCCGGUGGAGCGGUGAAAUGCGUUGAGAUCGGAAGGAACGCCCGUGGCGAAAGCGAGGUCCUGGACGUCUGCUGACGCUGAGACGCGAAAGCUAGGGGAGCAAACGGGAUUAGAUACCCCGAUAGUCCUAGCCGUAAACGAUGGGCACUAAGUAGAGGGGUUUU